AAAUAGGCUGCCAUUUGUCGAUGUAGUCAACCACUCUCUGGAUUCAGUGCCAGGUGCCUGGAGGAUGAACAUUUGCUUCAAGCCAUUAGUAAAGCCAAUCCAGUCAAUCGCUAUAUGUACGUCAUGGAUACCAGGCCAAAACGUCGCAUGCAGAGCUGGUGGGCUACACAAAAGGACAUUGGCAGAAUUAUAGUGAGGAUUUCUUCAAAAAUCCGGAAUGAUGGGAAAAUAAGAGAAAGCAAUGAGAAAAAGCGACUGAAUGCAAUGGCCAACAGAGCAGCUGGAAAAGGUUAUGAAAAUGAAGACAACUAUUCCAAUAUUAGAUUU
This 327-nucleotide small RNA is filed under the name Pan troglodytes (chimpanzee). RNAcentral's name for it is "processed transcript". The record is from RNAcentral. Lineage: Eukaryota; Metazoa; Chordata; Mammalia; Primates; Hominidae.